This 225-nucleotide ribosomal RNA is filed under the name Enterobacter cloacae. RNAcentral's name for it is "partial 23S ribosomal RNA". It matches the Rfam family "Bacterial large subunit ribosomal RNA", at positions 1 to 227 of the family's 2925-position model. The record is from RNAcentral. Lineage: Bacteria; Pseudomonadati; Pseudomonadota; Gammaproteobacteria; Enterobacterales; Enterobacteriaceae. RNAcentral also lists the same sequence under 3 other names.
GGUUAAGCGACUAAGCGUACACGGUGGAUGCCCUGGCAGUCAGAGGCGAUGAAGGACGUGCUAAUCUGCGAAAAGCGCCGGCGAGGUGAUAUGAACCUUUGACCCGGCGAUGUCCGAAUGGGGAAACCCAGUGCAAUCCGUUGCACUAUCGUUAACUGAAUACAUAGGUUAACGAGGCGAACCGGGGGAACUGAAACAUCUAAGUACCCCGAGGAAAAGAAAUCA